UCCGAGUCGCACGAUGAAGCCCGUGCUUGCACGGGUGGAUUAGUGGCGAACGGGUGAGUAUCACGUGAGUAACCUGCCCUUGACUCUGGGAUAAGCCUGGGAAACUGGGUCUAAUACCGGAUAUGACCAGUCCUCGCAUGAGGUGCUGGUGGAAAGAUUUUAUCGGUCUUGGAUGGACUCGCGGCCUAUCAGCUAGACGGUGAGGUAACGGCUCACCGUGGCGAUGACGGGUAGCCGGCCUGAGAGGGUGACCGGCCACACUGGGACUGAGACACGGCCCAGACUCCUACGGGAGGCAGCAGUGGGGAAUAUUGCACAAUGGGCGCAAGCCUGAUGCAGCGACGCCGCGUGCGGGAUGACGGCCUUCGGGUUGUAAACCGCUUUCAGCAGGGAAGAAGCUUUUGUGACGGUACCUGCAGAAGAAGCGCCGGCUAACUACGUGCCAGCAGCCGCGGUAAUACGUAGGGCGCGAGCGUUAUCCGGAAUUAUUGGGCGUAAAGAGCUCGUAGGCGGCUUGUCGCGUCUGCUGUGAAAGCCCGGGGCUUAACCCCGGGUGUGCAGUGGGUACGGGCAGGCUAGAGUGCAGUAGGGGAGACUGGAAUUCCUGGUGUAGCGGUGAAAUGCGCAGAUAUCAGGAGGAACACCGAUGGCGAAGGCAGGUCUCUGGGCUGUUACUGACGCUGAGGAGCGAAAGCAUGGGGAGCGAACAGGAUUAGAUACCCUGGUAGUCCAUGCCGUAAACGUUGGGCACUAGGUGUGGGGGACAUUCCACGUUUUCCGCGCCGUAGCUAACGCAUUAAGUGCCCCGCCUGGGGAGUACGGCCGCAAGGCUAAAACUCAAAGGAAUUGACGGGGGCCCGCACAAGCGGCGGAGCAUGCGGAUUAAUUCGAUGCAACGCGAAGAACCUUACCAAAGGCUUGACAUGGACCGGAUCGCUGCAGAGAUGUAGUUUCCCUUCGGGGCUGGGUUCACAGGUGGUGCAUGGUUGUCGUCAGCUCGUGUCGUGAGAUGUUGGGUUAAGUCCCGCAACGAGCGCAACCCUNGUCCUAUGUUGCCAGCACGUAAUGNGGGGACUCAUGGGANACU
This 1087-nucleotide ribosomal RNA is filed under the name Nesterenkonia sp. RNAcentral describes it as "bacterial SSU rRNA". It matches the Rfam family "Bacterial small subunit ribosomal RNA", at positions 56 to 1150 of the family's 1533-position model. The record is from RNAcentral. Lineage: Bacteria; Bacillati; Actinomycetota; Actinomycetes; Micrococcales; Micrococcaceae.